UCACCAUAUCAAGCUUGGCUUGUUGUUGGGCCCUUUGUCACCUGGUGACAGGUCCGAAAGACAAUGACCGGUGUCAUAGACUCCAUAUGCAACGAGCUGAUCACAGCACGCAUCUGGUAGUCGUGUGACCCGCUGGAAGCCUCUGGCACCCUCUCUCAA
This 159-nucleotide unclassified non-coding RNA is filed under the name uncultured Eurotiomycetes. RNAcentral describes it as "sequence contains ITS2". Lineage: Eukaryota; Fungi; Ascomycota; Eurotiomycetes. The record is from RNAcentral.